Molecule: long non-coding RNA, 1667 nt
Organism: Equus asinus (donkey)
Lineage: Eukaryota; Metazoa; Chordata; Mammalia; Perissodactyla; Equidae
Source: Ensembl
GGGGCCCACUGGUUUCCAUCAAAGCCGUGACGAGGUCCUCCCAGAGCAGUGGGUAGCCAGUGAUCCGCUGGCAGACUGCAGGUGCCCAGCAGCCUUUGGGAACGUGCAAAUCCCCUUCAACUAUGCACUUGCUUAGUCUUCCCAUGUCCUUUCUACACCCUUACCACCUUUCUGCCCAUCCUUAUGCCAUCUGUUUGCAUUCCUUUUCCGUGAAGUCGCCAGACCUUGCUGGUGGCGCCAAAAAGUUUGGAAAGGUGGACAAGUCCACUGAUGUUCCGCAGUGUGGAAACAGGCACUCAGUCAAUGCUUGAAUGAAGGAAGCUGAAACCAGGUCGAGCCUGGCCCCCAGAGUCUGGGUGGGUCGGACUCGGCCCUGGGGCCAUAGGGCUGGGCGCCCGGAGCCGGAACGUGCCGAAACCGUGACCCCGGGCUCCCGCCACUAGCAGCAGUACCUGGGCGUCCCAGUCCUGCUAAUGGCUAGCCCUGUGUCUCACUGCCCCCAGAGGUCGCAAUGUGUUUGGCAAUGACCAUGGCCCCUACCCGGAGCACGUCACCCGGGCGGCAACCACAGAAAACUCGGAACGGCAGCUCGACGGCCGCAAGAAGCCGCCUCCAGUGCCGACCAACCGCGAUCCGGAAGGCCGCCCGGCCGGAGGGCCCGCGCCGGCUCGUCGCUCCCCGAUACGUCACAUCCGGUCGGAACCGGCCCGGCCGCCUGAGGAGAGCCUGUUUCCGUGGGGGAGGCGGAGCGGGCCCGUGGGGCGGGGCCUCGGCUGACCGGGGGCGGUGCCUCAGCUGGUCGGGGGCGGGGCGGGGCCCUGGCCUGCCGAGCUCGCAGGCGUCCGCCGGCCGGGCAGGCCCGGUGGCGCCGAGCUCCGGGGCCGCGACGGCAGGUAGGAAGGAGCUCCGGGUCAGCACUGCCAACUGCCCUAACACGGAACCUUUGGCCAGUGUGGAAAAAGCAGCCAGCCUGGGGUUCCCUCCCUUGCCUUGUGGUGCAUCUGCUGAAACUCUUCCGGCCCCUCAAGCAGAAAUGGUGUGGGAUCUGGGCCAGACCCCUCUUGCAGUGACUCAAAGCCGCCCACCCUACUGGAAGGACAGGGUGGAUGACCCUUAGCCUCCUCUCCCUUCUGAACUGGCUCACGCCACCGCGGUGGCUUCAGUCCUGGGUGCCUUCAUCUUUUCCCUGUGACUCUCCUCCACUUUGCUUGUCAUAUUCCCUCUGGUUUUCCUGCCUCCCUCUUCAACGGUGGGACACAAGGCUGGACCAAGGCCUCCACGGAAGAGCUCUGCCAUCAAGGAAGGCAGCACAGGGCUGGGCCGUGCCUAUGGACCCUUCUCAGGACAACCCAAUGGUACCAGCAGGGCUGCUCUCCUAAGCCGCAGAGAGCCUGGGCUCACCAUCCUUCAGGAGGAGCCAUGGUGUUUAGGAGGGGCAGGGGCAGCUCCCAGCAGUGGCCUGGCCCAGGAGGGGGCAGUGGCUGCACAGGCUGCCUAGGUAUGCUCAAGGCUGCCCUGCUGCUUGUCAGCCUACCGUGGGGGGCCUGGGGAACAGCCAUUGCCGGUGCCAACCUCAGCACGGCUCUGGGCCAUACUGUGCCACUGACAGGGGGCCGCUACUUGAGCAUUGGGGAUGGCUCUGUGAUGGAGUUUGAGUUCCCAGAGGC